CAGCUCGGUCCAGCGACGCUGCAGGAAUCCUCCAGUGUAGACCGGUGUCACGACACUCCGCCCAGCGCCGCGGAGUCGGUGGAUUCUCCGUGACUCCGACUCCGACUCUGGACAGCCUCCUUAGCCCUCGCCGUCCAAGGAAGGUAUGGGUUCGGGCGAACCGUCUCAUGUAUCGAAGCGUCUGCACAACAACCUGCUAGACCACGGGAUCUCCACAAGCUAGACGGGCGCGCUGACGCGCGAGUUGGUCGCGGUGGACGGGACGACCGUGUACCGUGUCCUCCAUCACAUCUGUCUGCAGACCCCUGUCGAGUGGUGGAGUGCUGGUGUGGCGCCGGGUAGAGUCGGAGAGGGGCCUUCAGCCGCUGCCCUGCCAGACGGUGAUCCCGCCACAAGGCCAAGCUAGCAAAGAUGGCAGCACCAUCAAGCACAUGGUGGGCCCCGGCUGACAGCUCGGUCCAGCGACGCUGCAGGAAUCCUCCAGUGUAGACCGGUGUCACGACACUCCGCCCAGCGCCGCGGAGUCGGUGGAUUCUCCGUGACUCCGACUCCGACUCUGGACACCCUCCUUAGCC
Amphibalanus amphitrite is the source of this 575-nucleotide long non-coding RNA. RefSeq lists it as uncharacterized. The record is from RefSeq and is a predicted model, not a curated record. Lineage: Eukaryota; Metazoa; Arthropoda; Thecostraca; Balanomorpha; Balanidae. The transcript is spliced from 4 exons.